Long non-coding RNA from Stomoxys calcitrans (stable fly), 373 nucleotides. RefSeq lists it as uncharacterized. Lineage: Eukaryota; Metazoa; Arthropoda; Insecta; Diptera; Muscidae. The record is from RefSeq and is a predicted model, not a curated record. The transcript has 3 exons.
AUAAAACUUUUUUUAUAAUCUAAAUCAGAUCAUUUUUGACAUUUUUCAUUUGCCAAUAAAAGGCGUGUCUAUGAACUGAUUUUGGCAAUUGAUCCGGAAGUAAGAAGGAGGUCAGUAUAGCUUUCGGUAUCAUAACGGGACGCAUAGGACUACGAGCUCACUUUGGAGACGUUGGAGCAUUUCCUAUGUCAUUGCACGGCUUUCGCGUUUAUCAGAUACAGGCACUUAGGUGGAGACACAAUACCAGACAUGAACCAGCUGAGGGGCAUGGUAUGGAAAACAAUUAGGAAUUUUGGAAGUCGGUUGCGGAUUUGACGGUCAAAAUGAUCCCACAGAUGUUGUAUGGGCUUAACAUCAGACGACUGAGGAGGUG